GUGGGGAAUAUUGGACAAUGGGCGCAAGCCUGAUCCAGCAAUGCCGCGUGAGUGAUGAAGGCCUUAGGGUUGUAAAGCUCUUUCACCGGGGAAGAUAAUGACGGUACCCGGAGAAGAAGCCCCGGCUAACUUCGUGCCAGCAGCCGCGGUAAUACGAAGGGGGCUAGCGUUGUUCGGAUUUACUGGGCGUAAAGCGCACGUAGGCGGAUCGUUAAGUCGGGGGUGAAAUCCUGGAGCUCAACUCCAGAACUGCCUUCGAUACUGGCGAUCUUGAGUCCGGAAGAGGUGAGUGGAACUCCUAGUGUAGAGGUGGAAUUCGUAGAUAUUAGGAAGAACACCAGUGGCGAAGGCGGCUCACUGGUCCGGUACUGACGCUGAGGUGCGAAAGCGUGGGGAGCAAACAGGAUUAGAAACCCGUGUAGUCC
Molecule: ribosomal RNA, 425 nt
Filed under: uncultured bacterium
Lineage: Bacteria
Description: bacterial SSU rRNA
Rfam family: Bacterial small subunit ribosomal RNA
Source: RNAcentral